UACGGAGGGAGCUAGCGUUGUUCGGAAUUACUGGGUGUAAAGCGCACGUAGGCGGCGAUUCAAGUCAGAGGUGAAAGCCCGGGGCUCAACCCCGGAACUGCCUUUGAAACUAGAUUGCUAGAAUCCUGGAGAGGUUAGUGGAAUUCCGAGUGUAGAGGUGAAAUUCGUAGAUAUUCGGAAGAACACCAGUGGCGAAGGCGACUAACUGGACAGGUAUUGACGCUGAGGUGCGAAAGCGUGGGGAGCAAACAGG
Molecule: ribosomal RNA, 253 nt
Filed under: uncultured bacterium
Lineage: Bacteria
Description: partial 16S ribosomal RNA
Rfam family: Bacterial small subunit ribosomal RNA
Source: RNAcentral